UUUCCGUAGGUGAACCUGCGGAAGGAUCAUUAUCGAAUUUCGAGGGGAAGGAAGAUGAGGAGUGGAGACUGUCUCUGUCUUUCCCGCCUGAGAAGCAUGUGCACGCCUUGCUUUUCGUUGACCUUUCUCUUACUCGCACACCUGUGCACCCAUUGUAGGUCCUCGAUAGAGGCUCUAUGUUUUUAUCAUCACACGCAUCGUAUGGCCAUAGAAUGUAACGUGAUCGUUGAUCGACCUCGGGGUCGGGUGGCGGUCUAAAUAAAUAAAUACAACUUUCAGCAACGGAUCUCUUGGCUCUC
RNAcentral lists this unclassified non-coding RNA (299 nucleotides) under plant metagenome. RNAcentral describes it as "partial contains small subunit ribosomal RNA, internal transcribed spacer 1, and 5.8S ribosomal RNA". The record is from RNAcentral.